AAAAAAAAAAAAAAAAAAAAAAAAAAAAAAAACUCUCCUUAAAAGCAAAACAAACAAAAAAUAAAAUCAAAAAAAAAAAGAAACAUAAAAUAAAAAAAUUGAUUAAAACCGAUAAAUCAUUAACCUUAUGUAAAUAAAAGUUGAUAAAAUAAUUAUGCAUAAAAAACGGUUAAAAAGAACCAAGUUGUGUCCUAUAUAAAAUUGGAAUAACAAAUUCAUAUAUUAUUAACAUAUGUAUAUUAUUAUAGAUAUCUAACAUAUUGCUAAAAGAGAAGUUAGUUAGCUGCGUAAAUAUUGUGCCCGGUAUUCUUAGCAUGUAUCACUGGAAGGGAGAAAUAGCAAAGGACAACGAAGUGCUAAUGAUGAUUAAAACAAAAAAAAAAUUGUUUGGAGAAAUUGUAAAUUGUGUAAAAAAACAUCACCCUUAUGAAAUACCAGAGGUUAUUGCUGUUCCAAUAAUACACGGAAGUAAAGAUUAUCUUGAUUGGGUAUCCAAUUCUGUCAAAUUAGAGAAUGAUGAAAACAAAACUUAAAUAUUAAUAUAAAUUAAUUUUCACAAAAUGUUCCAAUAAUUUUUAUUUUUUUAUUUUUUUAUUUUUUUAUUUUAUUUUUAUUUAUUUUUUUUUUAUUAUUAUAAUCUUUAAUUUUAUUACUUGCUCAAGAUUUUUUAUUUUUAUACACUUUCUUAUUUUCAUCACCAUUAUUAUUAUUAUUAUUAGUAGUAGUAGUAUUAUUAUUAGUAUUAUUUUAUUUUUUUUUAAUUCUCAAAUUGGUUUUAUUCCAUUUUCAUUUUAUUUUAACGUGACAGCACUCCUCUACUGCUUAACUUUCACACAACUUGUAAAAAAUAUAAACUGACAAAUUUUUUACAUGUGCUUAUACAGACAUUUUGGAAACGUACACAUGUAUAUAUAUAAGCGUACAUAUAUAUAUAUAUGCAUUUUUUUUUAUAAUACGAUUUAUGCGUAUACUUGUCUUUGUUAAAAAAUUGAGAAAUUGUUAUUUAUAUUAAUACAUUACCAUUAAGAGCUCUAUCAAUAUAUAUAUAUAUAUAUAUAUAUAUAUAUAUAUAUAUAUAUAUAUGAACACACUUAAGUAUUUAUUUAUAUACAUUUUUACUUUGUGUAAUAUGCACAAAUGUAUAUACAUAUACGCACCUACUUAUUCACU
RNAcentral lists this long non-coding RNA (1170 nucleotides) under Piliocolobus tephrosceles (Ugandan red Colobus). RNAcentral's name for it is "lncRNA (ENSPTEG00000012592.1)". The record is from RNAcentral. Lineage: Eukaryota; Metazoa; Chordata; Mammalia; Primates; Cercopithecidae.